GACGAACGCUGGCGGCGUGCCUAAUACAUGCAAGUCGAGCGGACGGAUGGGAGCUUGCUCCCAGACCGUCAGCGGCGGACGGGUGAGUAACACGUGGGCAACCUGCCUGUAAGACUGGGAUAACUCCGGGAAACCGGGGCUAAUACCGGAUAACUCUUUCCCUCACAUGAGGGAAAGCUGAAAGAUGGCAUCUCGCUAUCACUUACAGAUGGGCCCGCGGCGCAUUAGCUAGUUGGUGAGGUAACGGCUCACCAAGGCGACGAUGCGUAGCCGACCUGAGAGGGUGAUCGGCCACACUGGGACUGAGACACGGCCCAGACUCCUACGGGAGGCAGCAGUAGGGAAUCUUCCGCAAUGGACGAAAGUCUGACGGAGCAACGCAGCGUGAGUGAUGAAGGUUUUCGGAUCGUAAAACUCUGUUGUCAGGGAAGAACAAGUACCGGAGUAACUGCCGGUACCUUGACGGUACCUGACCAGAAAGCCACGGCUAACUACGUG
This 498-nucleotide ribosomal RNA is filed under the name uncultured bacterium. RNAcentral's name for it is "partial 16S ribosomal RNA". It matches the Rfam family "Bacterial small subunit ribosomal RNA", at positions 28 to 507 of the family's 1533-position model. The record is from RNAcentral.